Molecule: ribosomal RNA, 406 nt
Filed under: uncultured bacterium
Lineage: Bacteria
Description: partial 16S ribosomal RNA
Rfam family: Bacterial small subunit ribosomal RNA
Source: RNAcentral
AUUGAACGCUGGCGGCAGGCCUAACACAUGCAAGUCGAACGAGUGGCGGACGGGUGAGUAUUGUCUGGGAAACUCCCCGAUGGAGGGGGAUAACAACUGGAAACGGUAGCUAAUACCGCAUACCAUCUGAUGUGCCCAGAUGUGGUUAGCUUUUAGGUGGGGUAACGGCUCACCUAGGCGACGAUCCCUAGCUGGUCUGAGAGGAUGAGCAGCCACACGGGAACUGAGACCCGGUCCAGACUCCUACGGGAGGCAGCAGUGGGGAAUAUUGCACAAUGGGCGCAAGCCUGAUGCAGCCAUGCCGCGUGUAUGAAGAAGGCCUUAGGGUUGUAAAGUACUUUCAGCGGGGAGGCGUUACCCGCAGAAGAAGCACCGGCUAACUCCGUGCCAGCAGCCGCGGUAAUUC